RNAcentral lists this ribosomal RNA (433 nucleotides) under uncultured bacterium. RNAcentral describes it as "partial 16S ribosomal RNA". It matches the Rfam family "Bacterial small subunit ribosomal RNA", at positions 29 to 507 of the family's 1533-position model. The record is from RNAcentral.
AACGAACGCUGGCGGCAGGCCUAACACAUGCAAGUCGAACGACACCUUAGGGUCUGCUUGCGCACGGGUGCGUCGCGCGUGGGACCCUUCCCUUAGAUUCGGAAUAAUACUCCUUCGGGGGUGCUAAUACCGGGUAAUUUCCUCGAACACCAGAUUUAUCGAAUUUGUAUGGGCACGGGUUGGUUUAGCUAGUUGGUAGGGUAAAAGCCUAUCAAGGCGACGAUCGAUAGCUGGGAAGAGAGGAUGAGCAGCGACACUGGGACUGAGACACAGCGCAGACUCCUACGGGAUGCAGCAGAGGGGAAUAUAGGACUAUGGGCGAAAUCAUGAACCAGCUAGGCCGCGUGAGUGAUGAAGGCGGUAGAGUUGUACAGCUCUUUUACACGGGACUAUAAUGACAGUACCGGGAGAAUAAGCACCGGCUAACUCCGUG